This 466-nucleotide ribosomal RNA is filed under the name uncultured bacterium. RNAcentral's name for it is "partial 16S ribosomal RNA". It matches the Rfam family "Bacterial small subunit ribosomal RNA", at positions 28 to 507 of the family's 1533-position model. The record is from RNAcentral.
GACGAACGCUGGCGGCGUGCUUAGCACAUGCAAGUCGAACGGAAAGGCCCUGCUUGCAGGGUACUCGAGUGGCGAACGGGUGAGUAACACGUGGGUGAUCUGCCCUGCACUUCGGGAUAAGCCUGGGAAACUGGGUCUAAUACCGGAUAGGAGCCAUUUUUAGUGUGAUGGUUGGAAAGUUUUUUUCGGUGUAGGAUGAGCUCGCGGCCUAUCAGCUUGUUGGUGGGGUAAUGGCCUACCAAGGCGGCGACGGGUAGCCGGCCUGAGAGGGUGGACGGCCACAUUGGGACUGAGAUACGGCCCAGACUCCUACGGGAGGCAGCAGUGGGGAAUAUUGCACAAUGGGCGCAAGCCUGAUGCAGCGACGCCGCGUGGGGGAUGACGGCCUUCGGGUUGUAAACUCCUUUCGCUAGGGACGAAGCUUUUUGUGACGGUACCUAGAUAAGAAGCACCGGCUAACUACGUG